Molecule: long non-coding RNA, 2479 nt
Organism: Xyrauchen texanus (razorback sucker)
Lineage: Eukaryota; Metazoa; Chordata; Actinopteri; Cypriniformes; Catostomidae
Exons: 4
Source: RefSeq, a predicted model, not a curated record
GUUUACAGGUUUACAUAGCUUUGGAAGGUGGAUGCUCGAGACCUGAUCGCAUGAGAGUCAGUGGAUCGCGUGCUGACUGAGCGCUUCUCCAUCAUCACUUUCAUCUUCAGCAAGUUCCCAGCAGACGACACACUUUCUCUCUGACGCCGUGUGGACUCAUCUCUGUGUACCAGAAAGCUCUGAACUCAUGGAACCAAGAAGUUACAUUAGUAUGAGAGCACAGCACCAGGGGGAGUGGUAGGAUCAUACCUCUUGCUCUCUCAUGUCCGUCUGCCAUGAAGUAGGCAUUCCAGAUUGGCUCCUGAUUGCUGGCCUUGCUGAACUACAGGGUCAGCACACCUCCAGUUCUCCUCCCGUUUGUGCUUCAUCCUCUACCACAUUGGGGGCACCUGGCACCCCUCCCUAUCAUGGCUGGCCAGAUCAAUGGUAAGAUCCAUUCGAGCAGAAUGACCGGAGGUCGGCAUCAAAGGCCCCCUGCUUGUCUCUCUGCCACCUGGAGCUCAACGAGGGUCAUGGGCUGCCUGGGCCACCACAGAUUCCUUUUCCCUUCUGCUGGCUGGGUUGCUGAGUGGGACCCAGGCAGCAUCUGAGUUGGCUUUGCCCUGGCCCAGCAGCCCACAUGGGGAGCAGGCCAGAGGUCAAGCCCAUCAGAGCACUUUGCUUCAUCUGAUGAGGGGAUCUGGUCUGGAUUUAAUGAGGCAACACUGAUUCCACGUCUCUUUACGCACGUGAGCAGACAUAUUUAUUCUGUCAACCUAAUGUGUGUAUUGUAGAUAUAAUUCUGUAAUUUUCUUUCUCCUCACAGGAUGCAGCCUCUGAGGCAAUUUCAGGUAUAUUUUAAUGCUUCAAAUUUAUUUAACAAUUUAAAAUCUCACAUAAGCCACACUCACUUGCCUUCAUGUCAAAUAAAAUAAUCAAAUGACUAUAAUUUUGGGAGAUUUUGAACUUUUUAUUUUCAGCAUACAGAAGAUGGCCAAUUAUUGUAGAACAUGCAACAUUUCCCAUAUGAAUGCUGUGGCUCUCUUCAACAAAAUGUUGGUCAUAUGGUAAAAGAACAAGCAAUUAUUUUCAUGCAGCUGUCAAUGCACUGAACAGGCUAAUACAGCCUAAUUAAAUGUCAUUUUUUGGGACACUAAUGAAAAUAACCAACUCUGAGGGGUUUAAAUAUCGCCGUGAAGCACUUCAACUGCCGGAGCCCGGCAGUCAAUGAUUUGAUCCUUCUAUGUCCCUUACUUCUGUGAUGAGGUAUGAAAGGGGAUGAAGUGAGAGAGACCGAGAGAAAGAGAGAAAAAAGGCAAGUUGGCAAGUAGAGGAGUGAAGGGGGAGACAGAUGGCGUGAAGUCUGCGUCUCUUUGGCGUUGGGCUCAUGGUGCUAAAAUCCUCCCUCUCACACAUUCCAACAAAUCCAACCAGGAGGUUCAGGAUUAUGUUCCACUGCUCUCGAAAUGAAGCAUCUGACCAGGAUAGAGCAACAGACACAUACAUACACUCUUUCUCACUGUCUCUCUCCCUCUUUCACACACAUGCACACAUACAUUCACAUACUGUCAGUCACCCAUAACCUAUCCAGAAGUUUAAGUUUUUAUUAGUAUGUCACCUACUCUGAAGUUUAUUGGCUUGUUAAAAUAGGAAGCUUGGGGAGCUGGGGAGAUAGAACAUGGGGGCAUGACUGGAAAUAUUGCAGUGGAGAAAAAGAGACCAAGAGCCAUUCAAGUGUAAAUCUCAUUGAGUAGACAUGGUGCCAAUGCAUGUAAACAAAGUGCAUACAAUCCAUUUGCAGCAGAAAAAUAAGGAGCUUUGCGGUUAGUCACACUAGCCACAACAUUAGCCUGUGCUUCUGAUAAGGUGAUUGACAGUUAGUCCCUAACAGUUUGGACUAGUCUUGCAAUAUCAUUAGUUUCCUAUAAUAAAAGUACAUUGAGUACAUCUAAUUGAAUCAAACAUUGGCAUAUACAGCUAAAUCUUUGGACCGCAUGUAAUCAGUCAUUCAACUGCUUCUGUUCCAUGCAUCACUGCUGUUUCUGGAAGCAGCAAAGCUUUAUUUUAACAAAUCGUUAUGUUUUAUUUGUCAUUUAGCUGAAAUGUACCGCUAAUAGCAGUUGACAUAUAAAACUACCAUGUGUUCCUCCUGUCAGCCAGAUGCAAAAGGCACAGAUGGGCUUCGUUUUCAAAAAUGGAGCUCUUGAUAGCGGACAAUUAAUGUGCCUUUGACUCUCCCAUUGAUUCUGGAAAAUGUAUUCAUUGAAGGCAUAUGAUCAGCCACGAUGAAUCUUGUCAGAUGUGCCAAAUCACAAAUUAAAUGCUUUAGUGCCUCUCCCUCAUCCUCCAGGGCUAAGAGCUCUUACACUCUCUCUCUUUCUCUCACUAUUUCUCUAUCUCUCUUGCUCACUCUCUAGAUGGAUGGCUGAGGUCAGCCUUCUGUUUGCACUGCCAUACUAAUGAAUGAGUCAGCUGGGAAUAUGUAAUACUGUGAAAAGGU